AAUGGACUAGAGGCACUGCCGCUGUGGCUGUUGUGUCACAUGUGCAUCAGUAGGUGGCAGAGAGGAGAGAGGCUGUGUCUACUCUCGGUGUUCUGACCUGUGAAUGUCUGAAUGAUUAGCAGCCUAAUAUU
This is a small nucleolar RNA of Acomys russatus (golden spiny mouse), 131 nucleotides long. RefSeq annotates it as small nucleolar RNA SNORA17. NCBI's taxonomy places the organism in Eukaryota, Metazoa, Chordata, Mammalia, Rodentia, Muridae. The transcript has a single exon. The record is from RefSeq and is a predicted model, not a curated record.